This 28-nucleotide transfer RNA is filed under the name Crenichthys nevadae (Railroad Valley springfish). RNAcentral describes it as "partial tRNA-Thr". Lineage: Eukaryota; Metazoa; Chordata; Actinopteri; Cyprinodontiformes; Goodeidae. The record is from RNAcentral.
UGCAUUAGUAGCUCAGCUUAGAGCACCG